Molecule: ribosomal RNA, 271 nt
Filed under: uncultured archaeon
Lineage: Archaea
Description: partial 16S ribosomal RNA
Rfam family: Archaeal small subunit ribosomal RNA
Source: RNAcentral
CAGCGCCACGAGUGGUAACCACGUUUAUUGGGCCUAAAGCGUCCGGAGCCGGUUUGAUAAAUCUUUUGUGAAAUUGUACAGCUUAACUGUACAGCGUGCAAGAGACACUGUCAAACUUGAGACCGGGAGGAGUCAGAAGUAUUCCAGAGGGAGCGGUAAAAUGUUAUAAUCUCUGGAGGACUACCUGUGGCGAAGGCGUCUGACCAUAACGGAUCUGACGGUGAGGGACGAAAGCUAGGGGAGCGAACCGGAUUAGAUACCCGAGUAGUCC